This 430-nucleotide ribosomal RNA is filed under the name Pseudomonadota bacterium. Its description in RNAcentral is "Proteobacteria bacterium partial 16S ribosomal RNA". It matches the Rfam family "Bacterial small subunit ribosomal RNA", at positions 355 to 776 of the family's 1533-position model. The record is from RNAcentral. Lineage: Bacteria; Pseudomonadati; Pseudomonadota.
UGGGGAAUAUUGGACAAUGGGGGGAACCCUGAUCCAGCCAUGCCGCGUGUGUGAAGAAGGCCUUAUGGUUGUAAAGCACUUUAAGCGAGGAGGAGGGUACUGGUAUUAAUACUACCAGGUACUGGACGUUACUCGCAGAAUAAGCACCGGCUAACUCUGUGCCAGCAGCCGCGGUAAUACAGAGGGUGCGAGCGUUAAUCGGAAUUACUGGGCGUAAAGCGCGCGUAGGCGGCUAAUUGAGUCGGAUGUGAAAUCCCCGAGCUUAACUUGGGAAUUGCAUUCGAUACUGGUUAGCUAGAGUGUGGGAGAGGAUGGUAGAAUUCCAGGUGUAGCGGUGAAAUGCGUAGAGAUCUGGAGGAAUACCGAUGGCGAAGGCAGCCAUCUGGCCUAACACUGACGCUGAGGUACGAAAGCAUGGGGAGCAAACAGG